CCAAUCAAGUCACCGUCAGUCCAAGCGGUGACGUCGUCGACGAUCGAGUCCGGAACGCCGAACACCUUUUUUUUCCCCUCCCGUUCGCUUUCCACGUAUUUUGUCAGCCUUUUUUUCCCCUCACGUCGUUUGACUUUUCCAUCCGCGGGAGAACGAUUCAAAGAAUGUCCUUCUGCUUGUUUUGGUUCGGCAUGGCGUAGCUUUCUCUUCCUUGUUCUCAUUCCUUCGUUGUCUUCUUCCCUCUUCUCACGGCGGAACGGUGUUUGAGUUUAGGGGGGGGGGGGGGCAGGGGGACGACGACGACGACCGCGACGGCGGCGGUCCCCACAGGGCAAAAGCGUCCGAAGAAGGUUGCCUUGCGAGCGGACUCUGCGACAGACAUGUUGUCGACGCUUGCCUUCCUUCCGAGCUAGUUAGCAGAAAUGUCGGCGCAGUAAAGGACGAACCUGGACCGAGCUGGACGUACCUGGACGGACGCAGUCUGGCUCGGUGUGCUGGUCCUGCCUGAGACUAGUCGGCGCGGACAACUUAAGAUUUGUUAGCCUGCUCCCCUUCAAAAAUAAACAAACAAAGAAAUAGACAAAACAUUCACUUGCUGACCAUCUCAGGCAGUGGCCGUUUUUGACCCGAGGUACCCGAAGUUGGAUGUUUGGGUUUGAACGACCUGCAAGAUGACAUCCAGCACGCCAGCAGACAUGAUUAACCUGCGACUCAUCCUGGUCAGUGGGAAGACUAAAGAGUUUCUGUUCUCUCCCGACGACUCUGCGGCGGACAUCGCCAAACACGUUUAUGACAACUGGCCAAUGGACUGGGAGGAAGAGCAAGUCAGCAGUCCCAACAUCCUCAGGCUCAUCUACCAGGGACGCUUCCUGCACGGGAACGUGACGCUUGGAGGCCGGGCCCUGUCUUUUAAAGCCACGCACAUCCAAAGUCACAGCACAACAGACCUGUACAAGGCCUGAAGCUUCCUCUGGGCAAGACCACCGUCAUGCACUUAGUGGCCAGGGAGACGCUGCCUGAGCCCAACUCCCAAGGUCAGAGGAACCGGGAGAAGAGCGGGGAGAGUAACUGCUGUGUCAUCCUGUAAAUGGAACCCUUUAAAACCUCCAAUUUGUCAUCCGGACCCCCCGACCACCACCCUGCCUUAUUGGGUCCGUCCCCACUAUCUCGUGACAACAACACAUCUACAUUGGGCCGCUAAACUGAAGUUUGGAGUUUGUUUUGUUAUUGUUUCUAUUUUAUUUGUUUUCCCCUCAACACUGUAAGCCUACACACACACACAGACACAUUGUGUAACUGGCUGGGAGCUGGUUGCCACGGUGAUGCCUUGUUUUUCCUUUUUGAAUUCUAACAAGUGCACUAAUAUACCAAGACACACACACGCGCACACACUGGUGGCCAUCUUGUUGCCAAGAAGAAGAGACGCUCCACAACAGUGUUGUCCUCAAUUUGGUCUUUUCUCUUUGUGAAUAUUCAUAUUUUUCUUCUAAUUAUCAUGAAUUAUUAAUGACAUCCAUUUUGCACAACACAAGUGUGUGCUACUUAGGCACAUUCGAUAACAACCGUACGUAUAAGUGUAUGUAUGUAUGUUAUUUGUAUGUAAGAGUUGUUCUGCAUGUACUGUAUGUGUGCUUCGCUUCUGGCCUCAUGAUUGACAGAUUUCUUUUGACGUGGGCUUGUUUUUUUUUUUUUUUUUUAAUUAUUAUUGUGAAUUGAUCAACAUGAUCAUUUAUUGCAAUCACGUGUACAUGAAAUCAACAUUUUCAAUUAUAAAUAGCUCCCCCCACACACACCUGUAAACUAAAUAAAGCUUAUUGAAGUCUCA
Phyllopteryx taeniolatus (common seadragon) is the source of this 1825-nucleotide RNA transcript. It is a transcript of the gene named ubiquitin-like 3a, with no coding region annotated. The transcript has 6 exons. Lineage: Eukaryota; Metazoa; Chordata; Actinopteri; Syngnathiformes; Syngnathidae. The record is from RefSeq and is a predicted model, not a curated record.